CAUGCCGUAAACGAUGGGUACUUGGUGUUGGAGGUAUUGACCCCUUCAGUGCCGAAGCUAACGCGUUAAGUACCCCGCCUGGGGAGUACGGUCGCAAGAUUAAAACUCAAAGAAAUUGACGGGGGCCCGCACAAGCGGUGGAGCAUGUGGUUUAAUUCGAUGCAACGCGAAAAACCUUACCUAGGCUCGAAAUGCAGUGGAAUAUAGCAGAAACGUUAUAGUCUUCGGACCGCUGUAUAGGUGC
This 244-nucleotide ribosomal RNA is filed under the name uncultured bacterium. Its description in RNAcentral is "partial 16S ribosomal RNA". It matches the Rfam family "Bacterial small subunit ribosomal RNA", at positions 796 to 1041 of the family's 1533-position model. The record is from RNAcentral.